This is a long non-coding RNA of Mauremys reevesii (Reeves's turtle), 470 nucleotides long. RefSeq lists it as uncharacterized. The transcript is spliced from 4 exons. NCBI's taxonomy places the organism in Eukaryota, Metazoa, Chordata, Testudines, Geoemydidae. The record is from RefSeq and is a predicted model, not a curated record.
UCUAGUGGUUUCUUCUUAGAGAAUAGAGUCUCACAGAGAGGAACAGGCCUAGACUGAAAGUACUCCUUAGAUAAAGGACUGGAGUAGACCAGGAGAAGGAACUGAGUGUAGGCCCUUCUGGAGAGCUACAAGGGUGAUACAUUGGUAUCUGGGUGAAUAUCCAGCAAAAACCUACGUUUCAGGGAAAGACUUUUUGAUUUGGCUGGAGGAACACAUUACUCUACCACCCCGUGGAAGGGAAUCUUUAGGAAACUGAGACAUGGACCUCACAUCAGAGAGUACAGAGACACUUUUUACCAAAGCCCAGUGGAGUCAAUGGAAGUCUUUCAACUGACAGCAAUGGCCUUUGGAUCAUGCCUGUAGGAGCUGCAGAUGUGUAAAUCAUUCUGAAUGACUCCUAUUGGCUUCAGUGGAUGCUGGAUCAGGCCCAGAGUCCAAAACUGAGAAAGGAAGAAAGUCCAAUGGAGGUG